Molecule: ribosomal RNA, 253 nt
Filed under: uncultured bacterium
Lineage: Bacteria
Description: partial 16S ribosomal RNA
Rfam family: Bacterial small subunit ribosomal RNA
Source: RNAcentral
UACGUAGGGGGCGAGCGUUGUCCGGAUUUAUUGGGCGUAAAGAGCGUGUAGGCGGUUCGGUAAGUCUGUCGUGAAAUCCUGAGGCUCAACCUUGGACGUGCGAUGGAUACUGCCGGGCUAGAGGACUGGAGAGGAGACUGGAAUUUACGGUGUAGCGGUGAAAUGCGCAGAUAUCAGGAAGAACACCAAUGGCGAAGGCAGCUCUCUGGGACGGUACUGACGCUGAGACGCGAAAGCGUGGGGAGCGAACAGG